GGGCACGUAGCUCAAUGGCGGAGCGCGUUUCUUAUAAAAACGAGGGUGUUGGUUCGAGUCCAACCGUGCCCACAA
RNAcentral lists this transfer RNA (75 nucleotides) under Candidatus Nealsonbacteria bacterium CG_4_10_14_0_2_um_filter_37_10. RNAcentral's name for it is "tRNA-Ile". It matches the Rfam family "tRNA". From Rfam's summary of the family: Transfer RNA (tRNA) molecules are approximately 80 nucleotides in length. Their secondary structure includes four short double-helical elements and three loops (D, anti-codon, and T loops). Further hydrogen bonds mediate the characteristic L-shaped molecular structure. tRNAs have two regions of fundamental functional importance: the anti-codon, which is responsible for specific mRNA codon recognition, and the 3' end, to which the tRNAs corresponding amino acid is attached (by aminoacyl-tRNA synthetases). tRNAs cope with the degeneracy of the genetic code in two manners: having more than one tRNA (with a specific anti-codon) for a particular amino acid; and 'wobble' base-pairing, i.e. permitting non-standard base-pairing at the 3rd anti-codon position. Lineage: Bacteria; Candidatus Nealsoniibacteriota. The record is from RNAcentral. RNAcentral also lists the same sequence under 1 other name.